GGAGAAUGAGGCAGGAAGUAGUCGAUCGAAGGAGAGGGCUUUUUUUUUCGGGGAAUGAGGAAUGGAAUAGGUCUGCACACUAUGAUUGUGAAAUAGGCUGUGACAAUAGCAAACAAUGGAAUCAGGGUGACAAAUAUAGAAAAUUGUUCAACUUUAAUUUGGCAUCCCUUUUUUUGGAUUUGUACUGCAUGAAUUAUUAAGCCAGGCAUUCCGGAGUGUCCUGCCGCCUCCUUCAGUGUGUGGCAGGCAGGCAGGCAGUCCAGGCGCUCAUAUACAAAGCCAGCACGUUUCACUGUGUCUGCAGCCGAGCAGAGCACCACCUCCAGCAGCAGCAGACCGGGGAGAUUUUUUUGGGGGGAGCACGGUUGGAGCCCCGACGCAUCUGAACGGCAUCAGCCUCGAGAGCUCUCCAUGAUCAGAAUGGAUCUGUUGGCUGUUGAAUGAGCGGAGGUGUCGCUGUCCGAGGUGCUGAAAUCAGCAGACCAGCCGUUCCCCCUUUCCUCCCCAGUCGAGACAGUACGCAUGAACUGACGUGAACGCCGAGCAGCAGACCCGACGGCUCAGCAGCUCGGCGGUUAACACAGCAGCUCCCCCGGCCAGAGUAAAUGGGAGCGUUAGAAAGAUGGAGAGCUUUUUGUUCCCGCUCGUCCUCAGCUGUCUCUGCGUCUCUCGAGUCACAGCAGAUAGCUUGUCGCCUCCUGUCAAUGUGACCAUCAGCGCAGUGAAAGCCAACUCUGCUGUGGUGACAUGGGACAUCCCCGAGGGAGACCCGGUUAUUGGCUUUGCCAUCACACAGCAGAAGAAAGACGUGCACAUGCUGCGAUUCAUCCAGGAAGUCAACACCACCACACGCUCCUGUGCAUUAUGGGACUUGGAGGAAGAGACAGACUACAUUGUGCAUGUCCAGUCCAUCAGCAUGUCUGGGUCGAGCCCGCUGAGCGAACCCCUGCGCUUCCGAACACCCAAGGAGGCCGAGACCCAGGCCUCUAAGAGUAAAGACGAGGUGACGAUGGAAGAAGUGGGCCAGAGCACCCAGAUGAGGGCGGGGGAGCUCAUCAUCAUCGUGGUGGUGCUGAUCAUGUGGGCAGGUGUGAUCGCUCUCUUCUGCCGUCAGUACGACAUCAUCAAAGACAACGAGCCCAACAACAACAAGGACAAAGCCAAAAACUCCUCCGAGUGCAGCACUCCUGAACAUCCGACGGGGGGGCUGUUGCGCAGUAAGGUAUAACCCACCCACCCAUCCUCCUCCUCUUCCUCCUCCUCCUCUUCCUCCCCUCUGGGUGCCUCCCCUACAGCGACUCCGGGCAGUUCCCUAAGAACAACAACAACAACAAUAGGAUGCCAUCUGUCAACAUCAUUGAGGUGUGACUGCGAGGACGUUGUCUCUUUAUCCAAAAGACUAUGUGUUCUCGUCAACAAGCGGGCCCCUUUUAGGCCCAUCUGCUUGUCAGGAUGAGGCUGGGACUCAGGGCCCUUUACUCUCCUCUGGCGGGGCUGAAGCCAAGCUGCUCCAGUCGGGGGGGUCGGACACAGCCUGGCCGGUCUGAGGGCAGAGUCUGGGUGGGCUCAGAGGCUGCACCCUGCUCUGUAAGUACUCUACCGCGGGGCCGAUGGGGGGCCAAGUGGCUCCGACAGUGAGACUGCAGCUGCACCUACCCCAGGGACCAAAGUCUACGAACAGAGCCAGAGACCUUUUCAUUCUCUCUCUCGUCACCUCUUUCUUCUCACCGUUUUUCAGUUCAUUAUCAACAACCACAAAUAAGACCUUUCACCAUAUGAGUGGCACUUGUCGUACCUUUUUUUCUUCAUAAUAUUCAGCUUUAUGAAUUGAAAGAAAAACACUGUAGAUCAUUCAUUAUUCUGAAUAAUAAUUCAGAAACGUUCAGUGGGAACUGUUUUCAUUCUGCCGAGCUCCUUUUCCCCCCUCAGGGAAACAGAGUCCACCUGGCUGCUUUAGGACUCGUUUCUUAGAUGUGCUGCAGUGACGUCAGAGCAGCCUUAGAGGAGCUGAAUCACCCACCUUCGUCAUAUUGAAGGCUUAUCUGAGUAUGUAACAGGCCAGGUGGUUUCAUCUUGGCCACACUUGCUUUUGCCCUCUAACUUCUGUCAUGCUUUUUUAAUAGAUUUCCUGAAUUGUUACAUUCCACAUCCAGGAUGAGCCCUUUAGUAUUUCCUUGUGUCUUUCUCUGUGAGGGGGAUGAAUUUCAUUAUGGAGCUGCGUUCAUUGAAUGCAUUUAAAAAGAGGGGGUGGACUCUACUGAUGUCUGUGGAGACCCCAAAGAGAUCCCUUAUAUCAGCAAUAACAGUGGAAACAAGGACUCUGUGGCCUGUUUGUCCAAAACUCGAGCUCCCAGCAUGCAUUGUUCAGACGAAUUAACAAACUGCACAUCGACUAUGAGGGAAUUUACAGGGGAUCCCUCCCCUUAACCUUAAGAGAAAAGUAUUUCAGCGCUGUUGUAAAAUCUUUCGGAUGGAGAGCAUGGGGGGGGGAAAUAUGUUUUAUGGGCCCAACAUUCAACCCAGAGACUUCCUUAUGACAUUAGCAGAUGUCACCAAGAAGGAAGGGCUUCUAUCAAGACUUUUUUCACAAAUCAAAGUCAACAUUGCUUUGAAACUACGUGUUGAGAACACUAAAAAGGGAUCCACUGUUAUACGGUACUGUGCACUGUAAAGGGACUUGUUUUCAGAAAGCAAAUGGUGUAUGUGAGGGCUGAUCACUCAGCUCGGCUCAGUAGUACUGCCUUAAAAACAAUUGUAUUUAUGAUUGAUCUUAUACGACGGAAAGCCCUGUAUACCUGUCUGAUUCAUUAGCUUUCACAUGAUAAUUAAAUGUGUCCGCAAGAGUGAAAAUGAACAUGUGCUGAGGUUAGUUGGCAAAUCUGGUUGACAUUGAAUGUGUAAAUACAUUUUAUAUUUCAUUCCUGUUUGGUAGUGUCAGCCUAGAGAGCCUUUAAUGAAAUAUGACUAAUGUGCAACAUGUAUAGAAUCUAAAUGUUAAAGGGUACCGGUCGUUUGUUCAAGCUGGUGACAAUGUAGGUGAUUUCUUUUGUCAAUACACUGCUGUUAAAGUCUUUUGAAAGCACUCCUCUUUUAUUAUGCAUUUCUAUUCAUUGGUCGUGCUUUUUUGAUCCGGAAAAAUAUGAAAAAAGUACUGGAAUAAUCGUGAAACAGUGGCUAGGAAUCUGUGUUGUCGGGCAGAAUGAUAAACAGCUGAUCUCUUGUUCCGCAUCUCAUUUUCACUCAUUGUGAAACCAAUACAUGUGUGUAUAAACACAACAUGUCACAACUCUGCCAGGCAGAAAAAUUGGCUCCGAGAGCAAUGAAGGUUGAGUGGAAGUGGGUAGAAUGAUGGCUCUUAUCACUCCCUAUCCUUUUAUUGCUAAGAGUGGAAAAGCACGAGGUUGUGCUCCACCAAUGAGCACUGAAUCAUGGCAGAUGCAGGAACAGGUUUAGAGAAAAUUCACAUUGUGGGAAAAGGGAGAAAGAACCAGGUCCUUCUACCUUUAGGACAAACCCCUCACAACUGUAUUCUGCUGCAUAACCCAGUGAUCAGCACUACGGCAAAAAACCUUUGCGGAUGAAGGCUGGAUACAUUUUUCCCCAGGAACACUAGUUCUCCAAUUGAUAGACCUCCAUCCACACACAUAAACGGAUAAUGAUGAUUAUCCCCCUGGAUGUUUUAUUUUAAGUUAUUUCUAUAAGAAAUAAAACAUGUAGGCAUUUUUGUUGAAAUGCACUUAAUGAAUCAAAUUUGAAAAUGUGAGGUUUACUUCAGCUUGGAAUACAUAUUUUCUUCCUAAUGAUUAUGGUGUCAUAUAAUCGAAAUAUGUAUUCAAAUCAAAUUGACGUUUCUAAAUACAAAAUGAAAAACUGAGGACCACCAACUCCAAAUUAUGCUAUUAUUCCUUACACUCAUUUUAGUGCAGGUUUAUUGUAAACGUACACUUUUGUGGCCGGUUAUUGUCCAUAUUUAAUGCUAAAGAAAUAGUAUCACAAUAUGGGAAACAGUUUAUUCACUUUAUUACAACGUAAGAAACAGCCCAGCUAGCAGGGAACGUUCUCACAACUUUGGCUAACGUUACCUACAGGUUCUAAUAAUGUUUUAAAGAAAACGUUUUAAGAAGGUUAUCACCAAACAUUUUAAGAAUGUUUUUAGAGAACGUUUUCCUACCUUUCAGAAGAACAUUCUGGGAACCAAAAGAAAACUUCCCGCUGAAAACAUUCCUAGAACAGUGAAUGGUAACAUUCUCAGAAUGUUUUUAGAACCAAACAUUUCUAAGUGGGAGGUCGUAUUAAACUCAGAAAUGAUUGGUUCUCUCAGUCACCAAUUCUCUUGAUUCUGGGCACUACAUUAUUCACCAAAUAUCGAACCAUUUCUUUAAGUGAUGCAGUUUCUACAUAAAGGCGAUGUGUUUGAGUGAGCUACUACACAGAGGUGAUUAUCCAGCAGUUUGAUGAUUAACAGCUGUGGAAUAUAAUUUGACAGAUGCCGGGUUUGACAAUGUUAAACAACUAGACAUGCUAUGAUGAAUCAGAGGAAGAUAUGUGGCUAUUUCACACAUCUCAUUUCCGGGGGUGGAGUGCAAUGAAGUCACAUGUAACUGUUAACUAAAUAAACUGGACUCACAUUAUUUCUAGUUGUAGGAAUAACCAGCCACUUCUGGUGUUCAUGGUUAAUUUUACACCCAUCAACUAUAAAUAAAAUAUAUUUUUCCUUAAUGA
Gymnodraco acuticeps is the source of this 4722-nucleotide RNA transcript. It is a transcript of the gene named fibronectin type III domain containing 5a, with no coding region annotated. The transcript is spliced from 6 exons. NCBI's taxonomy places the organism in Eukaryota, Metazoa, Chordata, Actinopteri, Perciformes, Bathydraconidae. The record is from RefSeq and is a predicted model, not a curated record.